GAGGUGGAAUCCGAAAAACCUUAAAAGAGUAGGAG
This 35-nucleotide non-coding RNA is filed under the name unclassified sequences. Its description in RNAcentral is "DUF805b RNA". It matches the Rfam family "DUF805b RNA". Rfam says of the family: Bacteroidetes, Chlorobi (1 example), Proteobacteria. Lineage (Flavobacteria) The record is from RNAcentral.